Non-coding RNA from Vicia faba (fava bean), 363 nucleotides. The record is from the annotation of a GenBank genome assembly. NCBI's taxonomy places the organism in Eukaryota, Viridiplantae, Streptophyta, Magnoliopsida, Fabales, Fabaceae.
AUGGUGGCAAAGUCUAACCCCAUGGUUGUCAGGCUGAGUACUUUUGCUACCACUACCAAGGAGGAGAGGACCAUGGUGGAGGGGCGUUAUGAGCUCCAUGCUGAGGUCCAUGACGGUUAUCAUGUCCCUCGCCUCGGCCCUGGUUUCCACGAGAUCAAGCAUGGUUGCUUGGGCGGCUGUUUCCACGUUGGGAGGUGUUUCAGAAGGUCGCUAUUGAGUGGUCUGCAUGGCGGAAUGAGAACAAGUGCCGAUCAUUUUGGACAUAUCGGUUUCUUCCAAUGUGAGCAUGGAACAGGCUUGAUAAAAGGCAGGAAGAGGAUUACACUGGAUAAUCAAGGUAGCAACACUGCAGUAAGCUUCUAG